RNAcentral lists this ribosomal RNA (254 nucleotides) under uncultured bacterium. RNAcentral's name for it is "partial 16S ribosomal RNA". It matches the Rfam family "Bacterial small subunit ribosomal RNA", at positions 524 to 776 of the family's 1533-position model. The record is from RNAcentral.
UACGGAGGGAGCUAGCGUUGUUCGGAAUUACUGGGCGUAAAGCGCACGUAGGCGGCUUUGUAAGUUAGAGGUGAAAGCCCGGGGCUCAACUCCGGAACUGCCUUUAAGACUGCAUCGCUUGAAUCCAGGAGAGGUGAGUGGAAUUCCGAGUGUAGAGGUGAAAUUCGUAGAUAUUCGCAAGAACACCCGUGGCGAAGGCGGCUCUCUGGGACGGUACUGACGCUGAGACGCGAAAGCGUGGGGGAGCGAACAGG